AUCCAACUGACGAGUCCCAAAUAGAAAGAAACGCGCGUCUAAAUAGAU
Molecule: non-coding RNA, 48 nt
Organism: Schistosoma rodhaini
Lineage: Eukaryota; Metazoa; Platyhelminthes; Trematoda; Strigeidida; Schistosomatidae
Source: Rfam